RNAcentral lists this ribosomal RNA (243 nucleotides) under Triticum aestivum (bread wheat). Its description in RNAcentral is "partial small subunit ribosomal RNA". The record is from RNAcentral. Lineage: Eukaryota; Viridiplantae; Streptophyta; Magnoliopsida; Poales; Poaceae.
AUGGCAGAUGCAUGAGCUAAUGGGGAUGGUGAUGCUUAUGAUCCAAUGGAAGAUCCAGAACGCAUGCCACGGAGGUCAAAUGAUCCAGGCUGGAAUUAUGGGUAUUGGUUGAAACCUGGCAACAUCAAUAAUGUUGUGUGCAAUCUUUGUGGCAAGAUAACUAAAGGAGGGAUCAAGAGACACAAAGAGCAUCUUGCUGGCACUGGUGGGGAUGCAACAGGUUGUCCAAAGGCUACCACAUAG